This is a small nuclear RNA of Toxorhynchites rutilus septentrionalis, 140 nucleotides long. RefSeq annotates it as U4 spliceosomal RNA. The record is from RefSeq and is a predicted model, not a curated record. The transcript has a single exon. Lineage: Eukaryota; Metazoa; Arthropoda; Insecta; Diptera; Culicidae.
AGCUUUGCGCAGUAACGAUAUCGUAACCAAAGAGGUUAUACCGAGGUGCGAUUAUUGCUUAUUGCAAAAAAAAUCCUAUUUAAUAGUGUAUCAUGUUUUCUACAAGGAAUUUAGAACACUAUCGCAAGGAAUUUAGAGUC